RNAcentral lists this ribosomal RNA (493 nucleotides) under uncultured bacterium. Its description in RNAcentral is "partial 16S ribosomal RNA". It matches the Rfam family "Bacterial small subunit ribosomal RNA", at positions 27 to 507 of the family's 1533-position model. The record is from RNAcentral.
GAGUGAACGCUGGCGGUAGGCCUAACACAUGCAAGUCGAACGGCAGCACAGUAAGAGCUUGCUCUUACGGGUGGCGAGUGGCGGACGGGUGAGGAAUACAUCGGAAUCUACUUUUUCGUGGGGGAUAACGUAGGGAAACUUACGCUAAUACCGCAUACGACCUACGGGUGAAAGCAGGGGAUCUUCGGCCCUUUCGCGAUUGAGUGAGCCGAUGUCGGAUUAGCUAGUUGGCGGGGUAAAGGCCCACCAAGGCGACGAUCCGUAGCUGGUCUGAUAGGAUGAUCAGCCACACUGGAACUGAGACACGGUCCAGACUCCUACGGGAGGCAGCAGUGGGGAAUAUUGGACAAUGGGCGCAAGCCUGAUCCAGCCAUACCGCGUGGGUGAAGAAGGCCUUCGGGUUGUAAAGCCCUUUUGUUGGGAAAGAAAAGCAGCAGGUUAAUACCCCGCUGUUCUGACGGUACCCAAAGAAUAAGCACCGGCUAACUUCGUG